Dromaius novaehollandiae (emu) is the source of this 10953-nucleotide long non-coding RNA. RefSeq lists it as uncharacterized. The transcript has 2 exons. Lineage: Eukaryota; Metazoa; Chordata; Aves; Casuariiformes; Dromaiidae. The record is from RefSeq and is a predicted model, not a curated record.
GAGUCCAGGCUUCCCCUGCUCUGAGGCUGCCUGAGGCAGCUAACAGCAUGCUGGGGAAGCAUUGCCAGCUGCCGCGUGGGGGACGGUGCUGUGCCAACCGCAAGAACGGCCAGUGCUGGUGCCGAAGUGGUUUUCAUCCAGCAAAUGCCUCCAGUUCGCUGGAACGGCCAAGCAUGAUGGGGCGUGUAACAUGCUGUUGCAUGUUCACACCCUCCUAGUCAUCCAGCUGCCUCCUGGGGUGCAUUUGUCAGUCGGGAAAGGGGUGAAAGCAAAGGAAAGAAAAAUUCAUGGCCUUUGGGGGUCUGAGUGCAGUGAUAAAAGCUGGAAAGGAGAAGGAAGGAUUUAUUUUUCACAUGGUUCCUUUCAAGCUUCCCGCUUAGAAGUGCUGUGCCUGAAAUGGCUUUUCCGAGAGUCAUGUUGCCUGUGUGCUCCCACCCCAGGAGGGGCAGCUGUGCCCCCCUCCACCCCCGAGCGGCCCAGAACACCACGUUUGACUCUGCUUUCUGUCAUGGUUAAUUUACACAGGUCACUUGGGUGGUUUAUAGCUUUGGAGAAAUGCGAUUCACAAACUCAAAUGCGAUAAGGAUGGGGGAAAGAAAGAAAGAAAACUACGUCAACCCAAAGGAAUGCAGUUGGUAGAGAGCCCAGUCAGUGUGUGUCUGGCAUAAACCCUGGGAAGGGGGAUCCCACUUAAAACGGGGCAAAACAGUAACCCAGCCUGAAGAAGCAAGGCUGGGAAGGACUGGGCUGCCGGAGCAGGGUGGCACAGGGCAGCUGCCCCCAGCGCAGGGUGAGGCAGAGAAGAAACUGUGUUUUGGGGGUCUGGUUGAUAUGAUGGAAGGAUCUGGUCCUAACUCAGUUGGGUUGCUCUGGACUGGCUAAAAGACAAGGUCAGUGUGUGAAGUGCAGAGGACAGAAACUUGUGUGCUGCUGGAAGUCCCCAAGGAUGCUCUUUGGUCAUCCAGCCUCUUGUCUGUCCCAAGGGCCAAACUGCCUCUUCUUGAAGUCCAUCAGUAUAGAGCUGAUAAAAUUCACUGUUGCCUAUCCACUGGGGGAUUCCUCCUGCUGCUUAUUCCUCUCUUUGCCCGGGCUCAUGUUCCUAAAGCAGGCAGGAUCUCUGGAAACUCAGUGUAGAGUAAUCAUCACCUUUUGGCCAAGUCUUGACAAGUUGGGGAUGAUUCAAACAGGAGUUGUGGAAGGGGUGUCACAUUAUCCAGGGUGAAAGCUGUUUGCCAGCUGCUGCAGUGAGGUUCACCAUGCUGCAUCUUGGCAAGUGAACUGAACCACAGAGACCUUCAGUGGGAGAAACACAUUCCUUCUGAGAUCAGAAACUAAAACAGCUGAGCCUGGCCCUUUACAAAGUGGCAAGAGUUGUUCUUUGCCUACCAAAUCUGGCACUCUGGAGAGGGAUGUGGAGGAAUGAGAAAGAAGAGCACAAGGUGCUAUCAUUCAUCUCCUCUGCACGUGGAAGCCGCAGUGUUCCUCAGCUGGCCCCGGGUGCUGCAGGGAUCUUCCAUCAGUCUCUGCUUGCAGAGAGGUCUGGAGUGGGCACCAACAGCAGGGACAGUGCACCCCCCGGAACCAUUUGGAAAGCAUCUGGAAAGAGGACACAUGCUGAGGGCAGCCUGUUGCAAGAUCAUCAUAGCACAGUUUGCUCUUGAGGGAAAUCUGUCCUAUGCGAGGUUCCCCCUUCGGGCUGCAGGACAGCUCCAGGCAAACUUCACGAGCAGAUCCAUGUUAACGCAGAUCUUGUGGAUCUGCCAAGCAGGGAGAAGGCUUCAUAACAGGAAGCAAUUUAUGACCUGAGCUGUUGUGUUUACACAGUGAUGACUGUGCUCUGCAGACCCUCAAGGGACUGCAGCCAUGCUCCAGACCACUCUCAAACUUCUCCAAAGAUAACAAAUCCAGCAUGUGCGAGCUGUGUGCAAGCCACAUGCCACACGCACCCCAGAGCAGUCAGGCAGCAGGGGUGCUUUGCUUCUGGCUUGUCUGCCUGGAGAAGCUGCCCACGGUUGCUUCCCGCAGAGAAGUACUCUGUGGAUUUGAGACGUCCGAGGGGCUCUGUGUUACGUGCUUCACGUUAGAUAAACGCACCAGCUACAAGGAGAGGAAACGCUUCCCUGCAGUGGCCGAGCUCAGAAGUAUUUCUGAGACACAGUUCUUAUGAGACGGAGGAAACGAAUUUGAAGGAAAAGGUUAAUCUCCCCUGCACACGCUGGAGGGACAGGACCUCUUGCUGCUGGACCGCUGUGGUGGUACCCAGAGGCACCCUCCUGCACGCUGACCCUCGCUGCUGUGAUGCGUUUUGAGAGAUGCUACAAAUCUGCACUGCGCAAAUGUCCUGCUGCUCUCGGAGUGAGUUUGUACCUGUGCGUUAAAGAAGGGGGGACGGUCCCUGCUAAGCUGCUACCUUGAGCGUGCUCUGGCCCUGCGUGGGAAGGGGCUAGCAGCCUGUGCCCAGACCUGCAAAGGAUACGGAGGGGAUGGGAGCUGCAGUGCUCUGGAGCCAUCCCAUGCUGUGCCUGGCCCCGAGCUGAACAGCGCUGCUCUCCCGCAGCACUCCCUGGGGAAUAAUCCGGCAUGCAGCCUGCUGGCUCUGCCCUUGGCUCUGCUUGGGCCACAGACUGAGAACAGGGAGGAGACAGGGAUAGGGAGGGAAUUGCACCCUUUUUCAAGUACCUAUUCUCUGCCAGGGUGAGUUAAAGUGGCUUUUGUGGAGCUGAGAACAAAGGCUGCUAUAUUUCUGCAAACUUUGUUGGGCUGGACCUGCCCCAUGGUUUGUCACCUCUCCCGCAGGACAGUCUGUAAACAGAGACAACCAUACAGUAGGCCCCUGUUACACAGACUUUUUAUACAUAUUCUUCUGUGGUUUUGGCCUCUAAACAGGGCCAUAUUUUAAUCUCUUAAACAGACUUCAUCUCCCAUUAUUCCUUCCCCAAAUAUUUUAUGUGCAACUGGAGGCCUGGGAGCAGGCCAGCACCAGAGGCGCCCAGCCAAGGCGAGCGGAGGGGCUGGAUGGUGGCAAGGCAGAGGGAGGUGCAGCCCGACCCUUUCAGCCUCCUGUUUGCUUUGGUAGCUGCCCCUAUUUACCUCAAGCACCUCAAUAAAACCCAUGUUUGUUAAAGAUUAAAUGCUGUCGCUGCUCCACUGUGGGUUCAAAGAACUUCCAGUCUGAAGUCAAGCAAGUGUUUUCAUUCUCAAAAAAACCUAGGGAUGGCCAAAACCUGAUGUGCUGGCUGUGUGGAGAGGCUCUGGCAUUGAACUGAUACGGAAAAUAAGCACUCAGCCAUGAAAAACAGUCUGCAGCCUUCCCGCGAGCUCUCUGAACUCAGGAUGAGAGCGGAGGCCUCCGGGUGAGGUGUUUAUUCCUCUAUCCCCAACCUGCUUCAGACGCGGUCCGCUCGGAGUUAUGGCUGUGGCUGGCAGCAGCGCGAGUCUCGCCAAGAUGUUUUCACAAAGCGCCUGUUUAAAAAUGAUGAGAAGUUACAGGCUAGUUAAUGGAUUCACUGGUGACUUCUCGGUAAAAUAAAGAGGAGGAGGAAUGGCUCUGUGCUGCCAGAGAGAAGGCCAUGAAGUUAGGGAGGCAGAAAUUACUUCUUGUCCAGGCCAGGGAAGCAGGCAGGAAACUCUUGUGCCAGAGGAGCCAGCAGAGCUGCUCGGGCGCUGGGGGAGCAUUGCUGUCUGCACUGCUGGGGGUCCGGCCCUCAUCUCCCCCAUUAGCCUCAGUGCCUCCACCCGCAGUCCCUCUCACUGGAGCCUCCAUGCUUAGUCUGGGCAGUGAAGGCCUCCGGGUGCGUGGGUUUAAGCCUAAUUAACAAUCCCUAAGUAAAAUAAUGCACCCCUGUCCCUCCCCUGGAGAGCAUGAAUGCAGCUUGUCCCUGACCUCGGCUCAGUCAUUUGACCUCUUUCUGCCCUGGGAGAAGCACGUUGUCCUCUGUGGGACCUAAACAUGUGCUUAAAGUUAAGCCUGGGAUUAGAGGCUGUGCUGAAGCUGGAUGGGAUGAGUCACUCGCUUUCCUGAAUCAGCAGAGAGGCCUCGCGACGUGCUAGGAAGACCAAGAGAAAACGAGGGAUCUGAUGGCUCAAAGGGAGGUUUAUUCAGAUGAAUGGGACGCGGAGCACAUUGUCAAAUGCUGAAAGGAUGGGAUGGCAUGAACCGGGGUGUGGGACUGAAAAGACCAGCAAUGAUCCCGUCCCACAUACGUCAACCAAACCAUAGGGGACAGAAAGUACCAUGAAAUCUGUGGGGUCACGUCACUGUUCGCAGGGCACUGGAUGAAGUUCUUGGUGAUGGAGGACGCUGUACUGAGGGCCACAGCUGAAGGAUACUUCUGUGCAGAAGAAGGAAGGCUCCCCGCUUCUGCACUGUGCUGCAUGCCAGCCCUGGCCCUGAAGGGACCUUCUCAACACUCCAAAUUUUGUGUCUGUGCUGAAGCACCAACUUCUGUUUGCUGCAGAGGGUUUGGGUUUCAAGGCCGUUGUGAUCCCAGGCUCUGUCCCCCUGCAUAAAGCAGAACCACAACUGCUUUGUGGAACUAACCACAUUUCUGGCAGGGCCUGCCUGUACUGUCUGGGAAGGUGUCCAGGCAUGGUUUAAGAGAGGGGGUGUGUUCCCUCCUGGAUAUUAGUGAAUUAUCCAUUUCCACAAGCUUCAUGACAACACCUUGGAGUGGCCCAGAAGCCCUAAGCCUGGACCCUACACCUCAACCUUCAUCUCACCUCCCAGCACGUGGCUACUAGACAUUGGCCUUGGCUACUAAAUGAGUGAUGCUUGUUUGGUCCUAACUGCACUGGGAGCCAUUUGCAGCUUGCUCACACCAACCUCAUGAUUACAGAUGGAUGCGCUGCCCAGUGCUCAGAGAAAGCAAGCCCUGGAGGGGCUGCUGGCCCGUGUGCCCUGUUUGCCUCCCCGCAUGCUGCCUCGCCGCCAGCCCACAGGCAUCCCGCGCUGGCACGGGGCUGGGCAUGGGCAUGCAGAGUCCUGCACACCUUCGAGGACGUGUGCUGACGGGGCUGGAGGUUGCGGCUCACUAGACACGAGGUAGGCAAGCUCCGUCUUGAGGGCAGCUUGUGCUGUGCCCUUGACAGCUGUGGUAGAUGCAGGCAGCGUGAUCUGUAGCUGGUUCCAGGAUGGGCAUCUUUCACCUGGGCAGAACUAAGUAAUCCUGUGGACGGUCAAGCCCUUGGCUUAAAAUCACCUCUGGCAGACAAAGAGAGUCCCGGUAGGGUCUGGGAUAGAAUCAGAUAAGACGCCCAUUUUGUGAAUGCCACACAUAGGUUCACCCCAGCUUCUGCCCAGGGUCCCCAAAGGAAUGGGUCUUCCUCUGUCGCCUUGAGUGACACCUGACAGUCGGUGCCACUUGGGAGCAAGGGCAGUCAGUGAUUUGGCAGGCUUGCUUGUCUCUCAGUUUCCUUCGUAUGUUUUCCGAAAGGACGUUCUGGUCUAGGAGGUAGCCAGCCCUGGAGAGUGGAGCCUGCUGUCUGCUCCACAGCCAUAUGGGCAGGACCAAGGAAACCUUCAUUCUCUUUCUGCAGAAUGCCACCACUCUGGCCAGGGUGGGUGUAUAUUCCAGUGCCUGAAGUCCCGGGGCUCUCUGCUGAGCCUGCUGUUGAAAGAGCCAAGAGAUGCUGAGCAGGACACAGACUCCUGCCUCACAGGGGGAGAGGGGAGGAGAAGGAAACGACUGUGUCCAUUAAAAUGGAGCUAAUGACUACAGGAAACGAAAGCAACAUUUUGUGCCCUGUAGGACCACCAAGCACAUAGGAGCCCUGGCUGUUACUACUGAACUGCAGUUGCUAACUAAGUAAUUCACCGUUAUUUCGCAUAGCAGCCCAGGACAGGAAAGGAGGGAUUCAAUCCUGAAAUGAAACUUUAAGGUUGUGGGAAGGACACAGCUACCCUCACUGGACUUUGGCUAAGGCAGCAGGAACACCCCUUUACUGGUAGGACAUAGGACAGGAAAAUAAAAAUGACAGAACUCUCCAUUUUUUCUGUUUUUCCUUAGAUGUCCUUUGAAAACCAGUCCUCACUAUCCCCCACAAUGGCACCUCUUAACACCAGGCUGGGCAUUGACAGUGGUCUGCUCUUGCUUCUUGCUGAGCCCUAACAUUUUUGGGUUCUUAGGGGGCUCCUAUCUGGACAGGAGCCUGGUUAGGUGGUGAUAUAUAAGACGCAGAUGUCUCCAUGCCAUAGAAGCACUGAACAACCCUCUUCAGAUACAGCCUUCUUGUUUUUACCAGCCUUGUAACCGCUGGUGCAUGCAGCAUGGCAUGGAGCCAUGGCCCUGUGGGCCUCGGGAGAGACUAGGCUGGCAGGCGCUGGCACUGGUGACAAUACGGUGGUGGCUGAAUCACAGCAUUGCUCUGCAAAGUCCCCGGGAAAGGGACACUUCCGUGUCAUUCCGGGACUUGCCGUCCCAUGUGUGUAGCUGUGGCUUGGCUCGGUGUGACUCCCAGAGCAAGGAAUUGCUGAGGCGGGGGGAGAGGGACAACGUCUCAUACUGUAGUGACUGUCGGAGGUCCUCAGUCAGGCUCGAGCACCCCAGGCCGGCCCCGGCAUGAAAGCAGCAAGGAAAUACCCAAAAAGCGAACCUCAAAGGCAGCAAGGCAAGCAAGAGCUGAGGAAAGCCACCAGGCGAGUUCACAGGAUGCAAAAGUAAUUGGGCGUUUCUGACAGCUCUGUCUCCCCGCCACGAAGAGGCCGCGGGACCUUGGCAAGGCAGAGAGCGAGCCGCUCUGGCAAGGCCCCUCCAGCUCCCGGUGAGAGCACAGCAGAGCGGCAGGCACCAGCCUGCAAGGGUCGGCCGCUGGCGUGACGCCUCGGCCUGGGGGACCUGGCUGAGAAAGCUGGAGCCAAGGCAGGCAAAGCAAGGAGGCUGGCUGCCUCCCAGGCCGGAGACGUGCGCACCACGGGGAAGGGGCUUGACGGAGGGUGCUGAGGUGUGGUGCGUGCUUGCCAGAAGGUAAAUGCACCUUAGAGAAGGGAAAAACACGUGGUCAGGUGACCCCAGAUCAUCAAAAGCAGAGCUGGGCACCCUGAUUUGCUCCCUGGUGCCCACGGGCUGCAGCCGAGCUGGGGGCUGACAGGGGUAGUCCUGCACCAGGAGCCGGGCGCUUCCGCAUCCCGCCAGCCCAGCCAUCCCUGCUAGGUCAGGGAACAAGCCUGAACGGGCCCUGUGAAGCCUUCCUAGGUCAGUGCAUGGCAUCACACAGCUCCUGACUAUAAGGGUUAGGAGCUGGACUUGUCAAACUGGGACCUCUCUUUCCUUGGGAGCACCAACUUGUACAGUUCUCUGUCACUCAUGCUUACCUGGGACUUGCUGGCAAUCCAGGGCUUCAGGAAUCGCUGUUGAAUCCCUCUUCUAGACUCUUGCGCCAUCUCAACCUCUGUUGUUGUGGGUGUGAAAUGAUUUCUUUUUCCCCAGUGUUACACCUUGCUGUGGCCUGUGAUGCUCCAAAUAAUCCAAAGCCAGAAGUCAAGCCAAGAUCACAAACCUCCAAAAGGAGAGAUGUUAGAGAGAGAAAGGUGGCCCUUGUUAUUUUUAAGCCUGCUUUCUGAUGUGUUUUUCCAACAUUUUUUCUUCCCCUUUUGGUAGAUAUGCUCUUCAUUCUUUGUUUCUUCAAAUAAAAGCUGCAGUUCUCACCUCCUCAGAUGACUCUGGGACCAGGUGCUUCAGGGAAGUGGUCACGCACAAGGAGAGGUGCCGUGGGCACCCUGGACGGCCUUUUCUGCUCAUGGAGCGGGGAAGCAGUUCGCGUUUCUGAAUUGCUUUGUGCUCCUCCACAAAGCUGUGCUCCCAGCUCGCGCUGGGUAAUUGUGAGCUUUGCAAAAUGCAUUGCUUUUCCUUGGUGUUUUUCAUAGCUCUUAUUUUAGAAAACUGCUCCUAGCUUGCUUUGCCCUGCUAGUGUAAGGCUUAAACGCCAAGCUACUCCAAAUUUUUAAGGCAAAGCUAAACAUUUCCCACAUACAGGACUUGAAAAAAAUCAGCAUCUCUCCCACAUACACCUAUAGUCCUCAUAAUUCAGGAUUUCUGAGUUGUGAUUUUAAAAUGCCCGGGGCCUGUCCUGCUGUGAAAGGAGCACCAGCAUCCUUAUGAAACCUCAUGCUGAACUCUCCCUAAAGAUGUCUUGAGUCUGUUUUAAGCCUUGCUUUUUUUCCUCCCUUGUCUAAUGCUGCUGGGUUAAUUCAGCUCCUGAAUAUUAACCUUUAUGCUGUUUCUCCCAUAUGCCAGUCUUAAAUCUCAUAAUUAUCAGGUCGGCACCAUCAGUCCUAUUCCACAGGCAGGGAAACCGAAAGACCGAGGAAGGAAGUGACUUACCAGCGGUGGCCCUGUGAGCCUGGGAUUGAACUCACAGCAACACCCAGGUCCCAUGAGUCCAGGACCUGCUCUGAGUCCCUGCCCUCAUCCUGGGGAAGGGGACAGCAUUUUUUACAUGCUAAAAAAGUUUAAGCCACUCCCUGAAACUCAACUGCUUUCAUCCAGAAAGAGCCCUUAGGUUACACCACUCAGCAGAUAGCUCACAGGCGUCAUUGGGUCAGAUGCUCUGGAGCUCUUCCAGGCCUGGACGAUGUUUAAAUAGAAAGGUUAUGUACCUGGGAGAUUUAUUUCAUCUUUUAAUUGGUUGUUUGUUUACAUGACUCGGGAGCUCUUUGCUGAUGUUUGCUUUGCUGGCUCAGUCAGCUUCUGAAAAUCCUGGACGGAUGCAUUCCAGCCUGGCCCUUGUGCCGGGGAAGUCUGGUUCGCAGCUCCUGCUCCUCGGUUUCAUCAGAGGAACCCUGGUGGUUUCCAUCCAGCCCGUUUCAAGCCUUGCUCCGUGGAGAGCACCGUCCCCCAGCCCUCCCCACCAGCGCACAAAGGCCAAGCAGGGCGAGGAUUUCCUUUUUAUUUUGCAGUCAUUCCCUGACAGAUUAGAGCUGGCAGCAGAAUGAUAUCAGAGCUGAGAUCUCCCCAGUUUUGCCCUUGCAGAUGUGAAGUUCAGUGUUGCUGGGGAUGACUGAAGAGCUCGCAGGGAGGCAAAACAACAUUUGUUUCAGAGGAUUUGGACGUUUGCUGCUGCGGCAACCCCGGUGGGCUCUGGGAGCCUGAGGCCCCUCCGCUGCUCUGCCGGAGCUUGUGUUUCAGCGGUGCCCGGGCUGGGUCCGGCCGGAGACUUACCGCACAGGCCCAGACCCAGAAGAGGAAGCAGAGAAUGGCACGGAGCCAGCAGCAUCCCUAUUCAUCCCAGGCAUGGGAAAGUCCCGAUUGGGGUCCUUCACCCCAAGAUCUCUGCUUCCACUUUUUUUAUGUGGAGCAUGUUACAGAAGAACUUGAGGCCUUGAGGUUUUGGAGAGAUUUGCCUGGCUGAAGUAACAACCCCAGAAUCUGUAUGUGUGUGAUAGGGACUGGGGGCUCCUGGUCUCCUCUUCGCCUUUGGGCAGGCUGACAGAUAACUCUCUGGAGCAGGGUCAGUCCUGGCUGCAGAGGCCAUGGAGAUGGAGCCUGCCCCCUUAGGUGGGCUUUUGGGUUCCUCCUCUCAGGGUUACGCUACCUCCUCCUCAUCUUUCCAGGCACUGCAGAGGAUGAGAAGCAAAACACCUGCAUGUUUAUGGGUUUUUUUUCACGCAAAUGUUAAAAACUCAGUUCUCUGCUGGUGUCAGGCUGCAGGAACAGUUUUGGAGCAAAGCCAAUUUCCCCCCACUGAAGCUCUAGAGAAAAAGGAUUUGAAAAUGACUUGCUAAGUGCAAAGAUUCUCUCUUAACUCGUCUUCCAUUUUUAUUUAAUUUUUUCCAGUGCCUUACUUACAGAAUCAGCAAGUUGUCCCAGGACGGGAAGUGUAAAUCAACUGUCUGGGCCAUGCAGCACUGGCUGAUCAACUGCUCUGGGUGUGAAUUCCUGGGAGAUUGUGGCCCAUCUCCUGCCUGAUGAGUGUUUUUCGCAUUGCUAUUUCCCUUUCAAUGAGCCACAGGAUUGGCUUUGCAGGCACGCCUUGGCACUGAGACCCUGCGGUGAUAGACAUGACAGCCAUGUGGGUGGAGCGCGCCAUGUACAGGGUGUCUUAAGGCUUUUUGGCAGAGUGGGUGUCUGAUGGCAGAUGGUGCAGAAGGAUGAGUGGCAGUCACCAGCCCCGAAAACCCGAUGCUGAGCGGGACUCAUGGGCGGCGAGGACUUGCUUCAUUCAGGGCCUCUCUCCCUCCCAGCCUCGGCGUUGAGCAAGAGCCAGCAGAUACUUAUCUUUGCUUGGCAUGUGUCCCUGGAGGGGAGAAGGGAAGUGACGUUCCCAGGCUCUUUAGAUAAGAAGCAACCACCCAGCCAGAUCAGUGGGGUAAGUCUUGAAGGAGCAGCAUCAGAGAUGAUGGGGAAGCCGCAGAUAAAGGUGAGGCUAACACCCAAGAUAAGCUGGCAUUGACAAGAGCCCCCAGAAAUUAGGAAGAUAAAGAUGAGUGUUUCCAAGGCAGACAGGUUUGUUCCAAAAACCACACAGCUUCUGCUGCUGAAGUUCACACACUGCGCAGAGUGCCUGCAGGAGACAUGUGGCCCUCCGGGGACACGUGGGACUGGAGGAGCUCCCUGACCUUCCUGCUGGCCCCAAGAGAUGGGCACUCAGAGGCCGUCUUCCCAUCGGAGUGGCUGGUCAGGUCCUCCACCAGCUUCCUGCCUGUGUUCAUUGAACUGAUGUCAACAGGCUCCAUGUGUGUUUGGGAGGAGCUGAUGGGUGUCACUGCAGGAAUGUGUGGGUUUUUUUCCCCUCCCUUCAUGUUUUUUGGGUUACAAAUGUGUUAAUGUCUGAUUUGCGCAAUCAAUCAAUUUCACAAUCUUUGCUCCCUGCAAACAACUGGAGAUGAAUGCGUGUUGCCUAACUGGCCAAAUCAAAGAGCUGCUUGGGCUCCGCCAGCUUUGCUAACCGCACUUGACCAGAUCUCUCUUCUUUCCAUCCUCCCUUCAAAGUUUGCAUUAAUAAUGAUAAUCAAAACCA